UUUCCGUAAGUGAACCUGCGGAAGGAUCAUUAUUGUAUAACCGAGGUGCGAGGGCUGUCGCUGACCCGAAAGGUCGUGCACGCCCGAGUGCCCUCACACACAUCCAUCUCACCCCUAUGUGCACCACCGCGUGGGUCCCCCUUUGGCUCGUUCGGAGGGGGGCUUACGUUUUCACACAAACUUUGUAUGCAGUGUAGAAUGUAUUUUUUGUUUUUGCGAUCACGCAAUCAAUACAACUUUCAACAACGGAUCUCUUGGCUCUC
This 263-nucleotide unclassified non-coding RNA is filed under the name plant metagenome. Its description in RNAcentral is "partial contains small subunit ribosomal RNA, internal transcribed spacer 1, and 5.8S ribosomal RNA". The record is from RNAcentral.